Molecule: ribosomal RNA, 1539 nt
Filed under: Klebsiella pneumoniae
Lineage: Bacteria; Pseudomonadati; Pseudomonadota; Gammaproteobacteria; Enterobacterales; Enterobacteriaceae
Description: bacterial SSU rRNA
Rfam family: Bacterial small subunit ribosomal RNA
Source: RNAcentral
AAAUUGAAGAGUUUGAUCAUGGCUCAGAUUGAACGCUGGCGGCAGGCCUAACACAUGCAAGUCGAGCGGUAGCACAGAGAGCUUGCUCUCGGGUGACGAGCGGCGGACGGGUGAGUAAUGUCUGGGAAACUGCCUGAUGGAGGGGGAUAACUACUGGAAACGGUAGCUAAUACCGCAUAAUGUCGCAAGACCAAAGUGGGGGACCUUCGGGCCUCAUGCCAUCAGAUGUGCCCAGAUGGGAUUAGCUAGUAGGUGGGGUAACGGCUCACCUAGGCGACGAUCCCUAGCUGGUCUGAGAGGAUGACCAGCCACACUGGAACUGAGACACGGUCCAGACUCCUACGGGAGGCAGCAGUGGGGAAUAUUGCACAAUGGGCGCAAGCCUGAUGCAGCCAUGCCGCGUGUGUGAAGAAGGCCUUCGGGUUGUAAAGCACUUUCAGCGGGGAGGAAGGCGGUGAGGUUAAUAACCUCACCGAUUGACGUUACCCGCAGAAGAAGCACCGGCUAACUCCGUGCCAGCAGCCGCGGUAAUACGGAGGGUGCAAGCGUUAAUCGGAAUUACUGGGCGUAAAGCGCACGCAGGCGGUCUGUCAAGUCGGAUGUGAAAUCCCCGGGCUCAACCUGGGAACUGCAUUCGAAACUGGCAGGCUAGAGUCUUGUAGAGGGGGGUAGAAUUCCAGGUGUAGCGGUGAAAUGCGUAGAGAUCUGGAGGAAUACCGGUGGCGAAGGCGGCCCCUGGACAAAGACUGACGCUCAGGUGCGAAAGCGUGGGGAGCAAACAGGAUUAGAUACCCUGGUAGUCCACGCCGUAAACGAUGUCGAUUUGGAGGUUGUGCCCUUGAGGCGUGGCUUCCGGAGCUAACGCGUUAAAUCGACCGCCUGGGGAGUACGGCCGCAAGGUUAAAACUCAAAUGAAUUGACGGGGGCCCGCACAAGCGGUGGAGCAUGUGGUUUAAUUCGAUGCAACGCGAAGAACCUUACCUGGUCUUGACAUCCACAGAACUUUCCAGAGAUGGAUUGGUGCCUUCGGGAACUGUGAGACAGGUGCUGCAUGGCUGUCGUCAGCUCGUGUUGUGAAAUGUUGGGUUAAGUCCCGCAACGAGCGCAACCCUUAUCCUUUGUUGCCAGCGGUCCGGCCGGGAACUCAAAGGAGACUGCCAGUGAUAAACUGGAGGAAGGUGGGGAUGACGUCAAGUCAUCAUGGCCCUUACGACCAGGGCUACACACGUGCUACAAUGGCAUAUACAAAGAGAAGCGACCUCGCGAGAGCAAGCGGACCUCAUAAAGUAUGUCGUAGUCCGGAUUGGAGUCUGCAACUCGACUCCAUGAAGUCGGAAUCGCUAGUAAUCGUAGAUCAGAAUGCUACGGUGAAUACGUUCCCGGGCCUUGUACACACCGCCCGUCACACCAUGGGAGUGGGUUGCAAAAGAAGUAGGUAGCUUAACCUUCGGGAGGGCGCUUACCACUUUGUGAUUCAUGACUGGGGUGAAGUCGUAACAAGGUAACCGUAGGGGAACCUGCGGUUGGAUCACCUCCUUA